RNAcentral lists this ribosomal RNA (468 nucleotides) under uncultured bacterium. RNAcentral describes it as "partial 16S ribosomal RNA". It matches the Rfam family "Bacterial small subunit ribosomal RNA", at positions 28 to 507 of the family's 1533-position model. The record is from RNAcentral.
GACGAACGCUGGCGGCGUGCUUAACACAUGCAAGUCGAACGGAAAGGCCCUGCUUUUGUGGGGUGCUCGAGUGUCGAACGGGUGAGUAACACGUGAGUAACCUGCCCUUGACUUUGGGAUAACUUCAGGAAACUGGGGCUAAUACCGGAUAGGAGCUCCUGCUGCAUGGUGGGGGUUGGAAAGUUUCGGCGGUUGGGGAUGGACUCGCGGCUUAUCAGCUUUUUGGUGGGGUAGUGGCUUACCAAGGCUUUGACGGGUAGCCGGCCUGAGAGGGGGACCGGGCACAUUGGUACUGAGAUACGGCCCAGACUCCUACGGGAGGCAGCAGGGGGGAAUAUUGCACAAUGGGCGGAAGCCUGAGGCAGCGACGCCGCGUGCGGGAUGACGGCCUUCGGGUUGUAAACCGCUUUCGCCUGUGACGAAGCGUGAGUGACGGUAAUGGGUAAAGAAGCACCGGCUAACUACGUG